This 470-nucleotide ribosomal RNA is filed under the name uncultured bacterium. RNAcentral's name for it is "bacterial SSU rRNA". It matches the Rfam family "Bacterial small subunit ribosomal RNA", at positions 328 to 795 of the family's 1533-position model. The record is from RNAcentral.
UUUCCAGACUCCUACGGGAGGCAGCAGUGAGGAAUAUUGGUCAAUGGGCGCGAGCCUGAACCAGCCAAGUCGCGUGAGGGAGGACGGCCCUACGGGUUGUAAACCUCUUUUGCCGGGGAGCAACGGGCGUCACGUGUGGCGUCACUGAGAGUACCCGGAGAAAAAGCAUCGGCUAACUCCGUGCCAGCAGCCGCGGUAAUACGGAGGAUGCGAGCGUUAUCCGGAUUUAUUGGGUUUAAAGGGUGCGUAGGCGGAUCGUUAAGUCAGUGGUCAAAUUGAGGGGCUCAACCCCUUCCCGCUAUUGAAACUGGCGAUCUUGAGUGGAAGAGAAGUAUGCGGAAUGCGUGGUGUAGCGGUGAAAUGCAUAGAUAUCACGCAGAACCCCGAUUGCGAAGGCAGCAUGCCGGCUGCCGACUGACGCUGAAGCACGAAAGCGUGGGGAUCGAACAGGAUUAGAUACCCCAGUAGUA